This 253-nucleotide ribosomal RNA is filed under the name uncultured bacterium. Its description in RNAcentral is "partial 16S ribosomal RNA". It matches the Rfam family "Bacterial small subunit ribosomal RNA", at positions 524 to 776 of the family's 1533-position model. The record is from RNAcentral.
UACGAAGGGGGCUAGCGUUGUUCGGAAUUACUGGGCGUAAAGCGCACGUAGGCGGAUACUUAAGUUAGGGGUGAAAUCCCAGGGCUCAACCCUGGAACUGCCUUUAAUACUGGGUAUCUCGAGUUCGAGAGAGGUGAGUGGAAUUCCGAGUGUAGAGGUGAAAUUCGUAGAUAUUCGGAGGAACACCAGUGGCGAAGGCGGCUCACUGGUCCAUUACUGACGCUGAGGUGCGAAAGCGUGGGGAGCAAACAGG